Numida meleagris (helmeted guineafowl) is the source of this 257-nucleotide long non-coding RNA. RefSeq lists it as uncharacterized. Lineage: Eukaryota; Metazoa; Chordata; Aves; Galliformes; Numididae. The record is from RefSeq and is a predicted model, not a curated record. The transcript has 3 exons.
AAACUGGGGUUGGCCUCUGGAUUAUCUUCCAAAACUGUUCAGGCACCCUUGGUCCCCAUUACGUCCUUGGACAGCUACAGCAAUCCAGGAGAGUGAAGAAGAAGCCCACACUUGUGGGUCUACAUCUCUGCUUCACCAGAGGCUUUCUAUAUGACCUUUGGAGGUCAGCACUGCCAUAAGAAGCCCAGUCCCAUUGCCACAGGAAGAUGUGAUGCUUGCCCUAGCCUGUAACACCUAACAUCCAGGGCUUUGUCUAA